GUUGUUGUUUGGUAUCUUCUUAUUGUCACAGCUUGGCGGUAGUUUUGGUUAGCACAUUUUAUCAAUUAUGCUUGGGCUUGGGGAAGCACAGGCUUUUUGGACUAUUUGAAUUCUGGAGUUACUUAUCUCUAUAGCAAGCAGUCACCCCGUCAAUUAAUACUUAAGCUGGCAAAGUUUAUUAAUGUCGUUGGCCUAUCCACUUUAAUAUAGUUGUCUUGUCUUUAGUAAUAACGGGACUUAGUGGGUGAUGGUUAGUAAUGGUUAGUUACAGGAUCAUUUGUCAUUUGCCCGACGCCCC
Non-coding RNA from Pelobates cultripes (western spadefoot toad), 298 nucleotides. The record is from the annotation of a GenBank genome assembly. NCBI's taxonomy places the organism in Eukaryota, Metazoa, Chordata, Amphibia, Anura, Pelobatidae.